UACGAAGGGGGCUAGCGUUGUUCGGAAUUACUGGGCGUAAAGCGCGUGUAGGCGGGCCGUUAAGUCGGGGGUGAAAGCCCAGAGCUCAACUCUGGAACUGCCUUCGAUACUGGCGGCCUGGAGCAUGAUAGAGGCGAGUGGAAUUGAAAGUGUAGAGGUGAAAUUCGUAGAUAUUCGCAGGAACACCAGUGGCGAAGGCGACUCGCUGGAUCAUUGCUGACGCUGAGACGCGAAAGCGUGGGAGCAAACAGU
This 252-nucleotide ribosomal RNA is filed under the name uncultured bacterium. RNAcentral's name for it is "partial 16S ribosomal RNA". It matches the Rfam family "Bacterial small subunit ribosomal RNA", at positions 524 to 776 of the family's 1533-position model. The record is from RNAcentral.